RNAcentral lists this long non-coding RNA (460 nucleotides) under Zalophus californianus (California sea lion). RNAcentral's name for it is "lncRNA (ENSZCAG00015009925.1)". Lineage: Eukaryota; Metazoa; Chordata; Mammalia; Carnivora; Otariidae. The record is from RNAcentral.
GGCGGGCGGCCGGGGUGAGUGUGAGUGUGAGAGUGAGAACAGCCCGGCAGGUCCCGAGGCGUUAGCUGGGGACUCUGCUGCGGAAAGUUCCCAAUCCCCAGCCGCAGGUAAUGGAGAGGGAAUAGAGAGGUUCCCCUGUUUGCAUCAGCAAAUGCGAAAACAUAAUAGCAACAGCAGCGGUAUCCUCUCUCCGGAGCGGGGUUUCCAAUGACGCUAACAUUCUUUUUCCUUUAAGUAUUGAAUGGUCCCCUGCGGCUUCCUGGUAAUGAAUGACCUGAGAGUAACACCGCCACAACCUGCGAGAAAAGGAGAGCCCUUUCCCCAACCCGAGAUCUGCAGGAUUGAAAUGAAAUAUUUAGAGUUCUUCCAGCUGACUCAUCAGAACCCUGGAGCAUUUUUUAAAUGACGAAAUGGAAGAAAAAAAUUUAAAUUGUCAAUAAGAAGUCUUUUGAACACCAGA